RNAcentral lists this long non-coding RNA (592 nucleotides) under Helianthus annuus (common sunflower). The record is from RNAcentral. Lineage: Eukaryota; Viridiplantae; Streptophyta; Magnoliopsida; Asterales; Asteraceae.
AUGAUUUCUCAUAGUCGUAGUGGUGAACCAUAAGAGGUACCUAAAUGGAAGCUUGUUCUUCCUACCUCCUACAUGAAUUCUAUGACACAAUAGAGGUACCUAAAUGAAGAUUAAUCUUCUACCUCAUGCUUGAUUAUUGGACUAAAUAAUACAUAUAAUACUUAUACGUAUAUUUACCAUUCGAAUUCUUGAUGGUGAACUUGUGUUCAUUCGUCAAAGUAGUAGAAAUACGUCAUCCAAGACAUAAGACUUGUUACGAUUCUAAUGAAUAUACUACUCAUGAAAACAUUAACCCUUGAGGUUUCAUAGUGUCAAGAACAAGUACUUGAUGUUGAAGGAUGAUUACUUUCGUAUACAUAUGUUCUCGUGUUUUAAUUUCUUAAAUCCUUAAUCUACCGUUAAUCUCCGUUACUCAUACACCUUGUUUCUUCGCAUAGAAGGACUUGGUGUUCCAACCUCCUAAUCAACAACAACCCACUCGCGGAUUCACAAGUAGAAGGCUUGCAAAACCGUUGAGGAUGAUGAUGCUAUGAAAUGAAGUAGCGUUGAUGCCUAGAUACACAUAUAGACGUUUAGGUUUAAUCGUUGUAUC